This 1441-nucleotide ribosomal RNA is filed under the name uncultured organism. Its description in RNAcentral is "SSU rRNA". It matches the Rfam family "Bacterial small subunit ribosomal RNA". The record is from RNAcentral.
UAGCUACAGGCUUAACACAUGCAAGUCGAGGGGCAGCAUGGUCUUAGCUUGCUAAGGCCGAUGGCGACCGGCGCACGGGUGAGUAACACGUAUCCAACCUGCCGUCUACUCUUGGACAGCCUUCUGAAAGGAAGAUUAAUACAAGAUGGCAUCAUGAGUCCACAUGUUCACAUGAUUAAAGGUAUUCCGGUAGACGAUGGGGAUGCGUUCCAUUAGAUAGUAGGCGGGGUAACGGCCCACCUAGUCUUCGAUGGAUAGGGGUUCUGAGAGGAAGGUCCCCCACAUUGGAACUGAGACACGGUCCAAACUCCUACGAGAGGCAGCAGUGAGGAAUAUUGGUCAAUGGGCGAGAGCCUGAACCAGCCAAGUAGCGUGAAGGAUGACUGCCCUAUGGGUUGUAAACUUCUUUUAUAAAGGAAUAAAGUCGGGUAUGCAUACCCGUUUGCAUGUACUUUAUGAAUAAGGAUCGGCUAACUCCGUGCCAGCAGCCGCGGUAAUACGGAGGAUCCGAGCGUUAUCCGGAUUUAUUGGGUUUAAAGGGAGCGUAGAUGGAUGUUUAAGUCAGUUGUGAAAGUUUGCGGCUCAACCGUAAAAUUGCAGUUGAUACUGGAUAUCUUGAGUGCAGUUGAGGCAGGCGGAAUUCGUGGUGUAGCGGUGAAAUGCUUAGAUAUCACGAAGAACUCCGAUUGCGAAGGCAGCCUGCUAAGCUGCAACUGACAUUGAGGCUCGAAAGUGUGGGUAUCAAACAGGAUUAGAUACCCUGGUAGUCCACACGGUAAACGAUGAAUACUCGCUGUUUGCGAUAUACUGCAAGCGGCCAAGCGAAAGCGUUAAGUAUUCCACCUGGGGAGUACGCCGGCAACGGUGAAACUCAAAGGAAUUGACGGGGGCCCGCACAAGCGGAGGAACAUGUGGUUUAAUUCGAUGAUACGCGAGGAACCUUACCCGGGCUUAAAUUGCAGAUGAAUUACGGUGAAAGCCGUAAGCCGCAAGGCAUCUGUGAAGGUGCUGCAUGGUUGUCGUCAGCUCGUGCCGUGAGGUGUCGGCUUAAGUGCCAUAACGAGCGCAACCCUUGUUGUCAGUUACUAACAGGUUCCGCUGAGGACUCUGACAAGACUGCCAUCGUAAGAUGUGAGGAAGGUGGGGAUGACGUCAAAUCAGCACGGCCCUUACGUCCGGGGCUACACACGUGUUACAAUGGGGGGUACAGAGGGCCGCUACCACGCGAGUGGAUGCCAAUCCCAAAAACCUCUCUCAGUUCGGACUGGAGUCUGCAACCCGACUCCACGAAGCUGGAUUCGCUAGUAAUCGCGCAUCAGCCACGGCGCGGUGAAUACGUUCCCGGGCCUUGUACACACCGCCCGUCAAGCCAUGGGAGCCGGGGGUACCUGAAGUGCGUAACCGCGAGGAGCGCCCUAGGGUAAAACUGGUGACUGGGGCU